UACAGAGGUGGCAAGCGUUGUUCGGAAUUACUGGGCGUAAAGGGCGCGUAGGUGGCCUUGUUAGUCAGACGUGAAAUCCCCAAGCUUAACUUGGGAACUGCGUCUGAUACUGCAAGGCUUGAGUUCGGGAGAGGGAUGUGGAAUUCCAGGUGUAGCGGUGAAAUGCGUAGAUAUCUGGAGGAACACCGGUGGCGAAGGCGGCAUCCUGGACCGAAACUGACACUGAGGCGCGAAAGCGUGGGGAGCAAACAGG
RNAcentral lists this ribosomal RNA (253 nucleotides) under uncultured bacterium. Its description in RNAcentral is "partial 16S ribosomal RNA". It matches the Rfam family "Bacterial small subunit ribosomal RNA", at positions 524 to 776 of the family's 1533-position model. The record is from RNAcentral.